Molecule: ribosomal RNA, 386 nt
Filed under: uncultured methanogenic archaeon
Lineage: Archaea; Methanobacteriati; Methanobacteriota
Description: bacterial SSU rRNA
Rfam family: Archaeal small subunit ribosomal RNA
Source: RNAcentral
CACAGGCAGCUCUAGUGGUAGCAGUUUUUAUUGGGCCUAAAGCGUCCGUAGCCGGUUUAAUAAGUCUCUGGUGAAAUCCUGUAGCUUAACUGUGGGAAUAGCUGGAGAUACUAUUAGACUUGAGACCGGGAGAGGUUAGAGGUACUCCCAGGGUAGAGGUGAAAUUCUGUAAUCCUGGGAGGACCGCCUGUUGCGAAGGCGUCUAACUGGAACGGUUCUGACGGUGAGGGACGAAAGUUAGGGGCGCGAACCGGAUUAGAUACCCGGGUAGUCCUAACUGUAAACGAUGCGGACUUGGUGUUGGGGUGGCUUUGAGCUGCUCCAGUGCCGAAGGGAAGCUGUUAAGUCCGCCGCCUGGGAAGUACGGUCGCAAGACUGAAACUUAA